AGCGAACGCUGGCGGUAGGCCUAACACAUGCAAGUCGAACGGCAGCACAGUAAGAGCUUGCUCUUACGGGUGGCGAGUGGCGGACGGGUGAGGAAUACAUUGGAACCUACUUUUUCGUGGGGGAUAACGUAGGGAAACUUACGCUAAUACCGCAUAUGACCUACGGGUGAAAGCAGGGGAUCUUCGGACCUUGCGCGAUUGAAUGAGCCGAUGUCGGAUUAGCUAGUUGGCGGGGUAAAGGCCCACCAAGGCGACGAUCCGUAGCUGGUCUGAGAGGAUGAUCAGCCACACUGGAACUGAGACACGGUCCAGACUCCUACGGGAGGCAGCAGUGGGGAAUAUUGGACAAUGGGCGCAAGCCUGAUCCAGCCAUACCGCGUGGAUGAAGAAGGCCUUCGGGUUGUAAAGCCCUUUUGUUGGGAAAGAAAAGCAGCAGGUUAAUACCCCGCUGUUCUGACGGUACCCAGAGAAUAAGCACCGGCUAACUUCGUG
RNAcentral lists this ribosomal RNA (492 nucleotides) under uncultured bacterium. Its description in RNAcentral is "partial 16S ribosomal RNA". It matches the Rfam family "Bacterial small subunit ribosomal RNA", at positions 29 to 507 of the family's 1533-position model. The record is from RNAcentral.